GAUGAACGCUAGCUACAGGCUUAACACAUGCAAGUCGAGGGGCAGCACAGUGUAGCAAUACACGGGUGGCGACCGGCGCACGGGUGCGUAACGCGUAUCCAACCUUCCCGUUACUCUUGGAUAGCCUUCCGAAAGGGAGAUUAAUACAAGAUGGUAUUCAAAUUCCGCAUGUUAUUUGAACUAAAGAUUUAUCGGUAACGGAUGGGGAUGCGUGACAUUAGCUAGAUGGCGGGGUAACGGCCCACCAUGGCAACGAUGUCUAGGGGUUCUGAGAGGAAGGUCCCCCACACUGGAACUGAGACACGGUCCAGACUCCUACGGGAGGCAGCAGUGAGGAAUAUUGGUCAAUGGUCUGACGACUGAACCAGCCAUGCCGCGUGAAGGUCACGGCCCUAUGGGUCUUAAACUUCUUUUGUAAGGGAGCAAUAAGUCUCACGCGUGGGAUGAUGAGAGUACCUUACGAAUAAGCAUCGGCUAACUCCGUGCCAGCAGCCGACGG
Molecule: ribosomal RNA, 499 nt
Filed under: uncultured bacterium
Lineage: Bacteria
Description: bacterial SSU rRNA
Rfam family: Bacterial small subunit ribosomal RNA
Source: RNAcentral